ACUUAGGCAGCAACCAUUUGAUUUUCUGGGGGGGGCUAUGGUUUUUUUUUCUGUACAAACUUUUUUUUUCGCCUGCGGCGAAAAACAAUAUAUUUUUUUCGCGACAAGUCGAAAACAAUUUUUUUCUUUCAAUUUUAGCAUUACAUAUAGUGGCAGCUGAGGGUGAAACAAACAAUUUUUUUUUCUCAGAAUCAAAAACAAAUUAUUUUUUUCUCCAAAAACUGGAAACAAACUUUUUUUUCCCAAAAAAACCAUAGCCCCCCC
Molecule: long non-coding RNA, 264 nt
Filed under: Mytilus galloprovincialis (Mediterranean mussel)
Lineage: Eukaryota; Metazoa; Mollusca; Bivalvia; Mytilida; Mytilidae
Source: RNAcentral